GUGGGGAAUAUUGCGCAAUGGGGGAAACCCUGACGCAGCGACGCCGUGUGAGGGAAGAAGGCUUUCGGGUCGUAAACCUCUGUCAGGAAGGAAGAACCUCUCAAGGCUGAACAAGCCUUGGGACUGACGGUACUUCCAGAGGAAGCACCGGCUAACUCCGUGCCAGCAGCCGCGGUAAUACGGAGGGUGCAAGCGUUAAUCGGAAUCACUGGGCGUAAAGCGCGCGUAGGCCGUCUUUUAAGUCGUACGUGAAAGCCCUCGGCUCAACCGGGGAACUGCGUUCGAUACUGGGAGACUUGAGUCCUGGAGAGGGUGGCGGAAUUCCGGGUGUAGGAGUGAAAUCCGUAGAUAUCCGGAGGAACACCGGUGGCGAAGGCGGUCACCUGGACAGGUACUGACGCUGAGGCGCGAAAGCGUGGGGAGCAAACAGGAUUAGAAACCCCGGUAGUCC
Molecule: ribosomal RNA, 451 nt
Filed under: uncultured bacterium
Lineage: Bacteria
Description: partial 16S ribosomal RNA
Rfam family: Bacterial small subunit ribosomal RNA
Source: RNAcentral